RNAcentral lists this RNase P RNA (328 nucleotides) under uncultured Alistipes sp. RNAcentral describes it as "Bacterial RNase P class A". It matches the Rfam family "Bacterial RNase P class A", at positions 31 to 359 of the family's 367-position model. From Rfam's summary of the family: Ribonuclease P (RNase P) is a ubiquitous endoribonuclease, found in archaea, bacteria and eukarya as well as chloroplasts and mitochondria. The record is from RNAcentral. Lineage: Bacteria; Pseudomonadati; Bacteroidota; Bacteroidia; Bacteroidales; Rikenellaceae.
GGAGCGGGAGGGGAGGAAAGUCCGGGCAACGCAGGGCGCCGCGCUUCCUAACGGGAAGAUCUUCGUGAGGGGAUAGCCGCGUAACAGAAAACAACCGCCGUUCUUCAGAACGGUAAGGGUGAAAAGGCGGGGUAAGAGCCCACCGCAGCCAUGGUGACAUGUGCCGGCCGUACGUCUCGCGGGUUGCAAGACCAUGUAUACCGACAGUUUUAAGGACGGCCCGUCCGAUGUCGGGGGGUAGGUUGCUGAUGAGCCGGCGGGUGACCGUCGACCUAGAUAAAUGACAGAGGCCUCGAUUCGAGGUACAGAACCCGGCUUACACGCCCUG